Molecule: ribosomal RNA, 1107 nt
Filed under: Staphylococcus aureus
Lineage: Bacteria; Bacillati; Bacillota; Bacilli; Caryophanales; Staphylococcaceae
Description: partial 23S ribosomal RNA
Rfam family: Bacterial large subunit ribosomal RNA
Source: RNAcentral
AGAUUAAGUUAUUAAGGGCGCACGGUGGAUGCCUUGGCACUAGAAGCCGAUGAAGGACGUUACUAACGACGAUAUGCUUUGGGGAGCUGUAAGUAAGCUUUGAUCCAGAGAUUUCCGAAUGGGGAAACCCAGCAUGAGUUAUGUCAUGUUAUCGAUAUGUGAAUACAUAGCAUAUCAGAAGGCACACCCGGAGAACUGAAACAUCUUAGUACCCGGAGGAAGAGAAAGAAAAUUCGAUUCCCUUAGUAGCGGCGAGCGAAACGGGAAGAGCCCAAACCAACAAGCUUGCUUGUUGGGGUUGUAGGACACUCUAUACGGAGUUACAAAGGACGACAUUAGACGAAUCAUCUGGAAAGAUGAAUCAAAGAAGGUAAUAAUCCUGUAGUCGAAAAUGUUGUCUCUCUUGAGUGGAUCCUGAGUACGACGGAGCACGUGAAAUUCCGUCGGAAUCUGGGAGGACCAUCUCCUAAGGCUAAAUACUCUCUAGUGACCGAUAGUGAACCAGUACCGUGAGGGAAAGGUGAAAAGCACCCCGGAAGGGGAGUGAAAUAGAACCUGAAACCGUGUGCUUACAAGUAGUCAGAGCCCGUUAAUGGGUGAUGGCGUGCCUUUUGUAGAAUGAACCGGCGAGUUACGAUUUGAUGCAAGGUUAAGCAGUAAAUGUGGAGCCGUAGCGAAAGCGAGUCUGAAUAGGGCGUUUAGUAUUUGGUCGUAGACCCGAAACCAGGUGAUCUACCCUUGGUCAGGUUGAAGUUCAGGUAACACUGAAUGGAGGACCGAACCGACUUACGUUGAAAAGUGAGCGGAUGAACUGAGGGUAGCGGAGAAAUUCCAAUCGAACCUGGAGAUAGCUGGUUCUCUCCGAAAUAGCUUUAGGGCUAGCCUCAAGUGAUGAUUAUUGGAGGUAGAGCACUGUUUGGACGAGGGGCCCCUCUCGGGUUACCGAAUUCAGACAAACUCCGAAUGCCAAUUAAUUUAACUUGGGAGUCAGAACAUGGGUGAUAAGGUCCGUGUUCGAAAGGGAAACAGCCCAGACCACCAGCUAAGGUCCCAAAAUAUAUGUUAAGUGGAAAAGGAUGUGGCGUUGCCCAGACAACUAGGAUGUUG